Molecule: long non-coding RNA, 1176 nt
Organism: Drosophila gunungcola (fruit fly)
Lineage: Eukaryota; Metazoa; Arthropoda; Insecta; Diptera; Drosophilidae
Exons: 3
Source: RefSeq, a predicted model, not a curated record
CAUGACAAUAUAUCGAAGAACAACAAAAAAAAAAUUUAAAAAAACGAAAAAGGAAAGUUUUAAUUUUUUUUCGCCGAUGUUUCUUAUGUGAGCUCGUUAAGACAUAUAUACCACCUGCAACAGUAAACCCACUUAUGGGAAAGUUUUAAAACUGAGGGACUAGUCUGCGUAGAAACGGACAGACGGAAUGACACACGGACAUGGCUAGUCCGAUUUUCCAAGUGAUGCUGCUUUAAAUAGGAACGACACCACUUCAGUAAGUGUUAAGGAAUUCCGAGAAGGAGAAGCUUGUGAAGUAGCUCAUGGUUGACCGAGUCACCUGCUAUUUUAAAGUCUGUGAAAAUUACAUCAGUUUGCUUUGAGGAUUGAAAGCCUUGAUUAAUGAAGGUAGUAGCAGAUUAGUCGUAGUUGAUCGAAAUUUUGUAGAGCUAUGUUGAUAUGGAUAUGACUUUAAUAAAGAAAAUAUCUCCGUAGAAGGGUUAUCUCACUGGCUGCACAACAAUCUACUCCAAUCAUAACUGCAAAUAAACCUUCCGACAGCUGUCGUGCUUCUGGACAUAUUGGAGAGAAGGCUAUGGCUCGAGUGGCAUGCAAAAUAUCAUCUAAAAGUAGCAAACAAACUACUACCUAUAUAGAGCAGCUCUCUGCAAACAGCAAACGAUAUUCACCGUGGAAUACUCAAUCAGGCCUAUGUAUAUGUCCACCCACCGAGAGUGAAUCAGCUUUACAAACACAGACAGGAGAUUUGGCUCGCAGCAACGAAGAGGGGCAAAUCCACUAAUCAACAGUUCAGAAGCUACUCCGCCUAUCGUAUUUCAGUCAGGCUCAUUCUAAUAGGCCACAGUCUACCGGCAUGAGAUAAGAACAGCAGAUGUUGACAGUGGAAUAUUGACGUUAAACGGCAAACGGAUGACGGAGGCUAAUGGGAGUUGUUUUAGAAUAGCACUAUGUUUGGCAAUGUCACGGUAGCUGCUAAUGUCGGUCUUUCUGCCUUUUUUGUGAAGUGGAUUAAUAAAGGAUUUUUUUCAAAUGGCAUAAAAGGUGGAUUGGAAAAAGUCUGCAAAAAAAUUCCUUGGCAGACGUGUUAUUAAGCAGAAGGGAUGGUGGAAACAUGUUGGAUUUGCGCUUCGAGUUUACAAAGGAGUAAAAAAGCUUGGGAUUCUGCGAUUCUGUGAA